UAGAUUUUAAGUUAUAUGAAAACUAAAAACCUUCAAAGUUUUAAAAAAGAGAAAUCUUAAAUCUAA
RNAcentral lists this transfer RNA (66 nucleotides) under Grandidierella rubroantennata. Its description in RNAcentral is "tRNA-Trp". The record is from RNAcentral. Lineage: Eukaryota; Metazoa; Arthropoda; Malacostraca; Amphipoda; Corophiidae.